Molecule: ribosomal RNA, 587 nt
Filed under: Ameerega trivittata (three-striped poison frog)
Lineage: Eukaryota; Metazoa; Chordata; Amphibia; Anura; Dendrobatidae
Description: partial large subunit ribosomal RNA
Rfam family: Bacterial large subunit ribosomal RNA
Source: RNAcentral
CGCCUGUUUAUCAAAAACAUCGCCUCUUGUUCAAUUAUAGGAGGUCCAGCCUGCCCAGUGACUCUGUUCAACGGCCGCGGUAUCCUAACCGUGCGAAGGUAGCGUAAUCACUUGUUCUUUAAAUGAGGACUAGUAUGAAUGGUCCCACGAGGGCUGCACUGUCUCCUUUUUCUAAUCAAUGAAACUAAUCUCCCCGUGAAGAAGCGGGAAUUAUCCUAUAAGACGAGAAGACCCUAUGGAGCUUUAAACAAUUGAAACAUUUGCUUUUCUCCUAACUCCUCCCGAGCUCUUUAUUUUUAUUUAAGCAUUAUUAUUUCUAGUUUUAGGUUGGGGUGACCACGGAGCAAAACUAAACCUCCAUGAAGAAAUGAAUAUUUUUAAGCCACAAACUACUUUUUUAAGCAUCAACAAAUUGACCUUCAUUGACCCAAUAUAUUGAUCAACGAACCAAGUUACCCUAGGGAUAACAGCGCAAUCUACUUCAAGAGCUCAUAUCGACAAGUAGGUUUACGACCUCGAUGUUGGAUCAGGGUAUCCUAGUGGUGCAGCCGCUACUAAUGGUUCGUUUGUUCAACGAUUAAAACCCU